This 1176-nucleotide ribosomal RNA is filed under the name uncultured organism. Its description in RNAcentral is "bacterial SSU rRNA". It matches the Rfam family "Bacterial small subunit ribosomal RNA", at positions 273 to 1448 of the family's 1533-position model. The record is from RNAcentral.
GCGACGAUCUAUAGCCGGGUUGAGAGACUGGCCGGCCACAUUGGGACUGAGACACGGCCCAGACUCCUACGGGAGGCAGCAGCUAAGAAUCUUCCGCAAUGGACGCAAGUCUGACGGAGCGACGCCGCGUGAACGAUGAAGGCCUUACAGGUUGUAAAGUUCUUUUAUAGUAGACGAAAACUAAGCGUAGGCUUAGUUGACGGUAUUCUAUGAAUAAGGUCCGGCUAACUACGUGCCAGCAGCCGCGGUAAUACGUAGGGACCGAGCGUUGUUCGGAAUUAUUGGGCGUAAAGGGUACGUAGGCGGUCUAAUAAGUCAGAUGUGAAAACCCUGGGCUCAGCCUGAGGCCUGCGUCUGAUACUGUUAGGCUAGAGUUACGGAGAGGAAGUCGGAAUUCCUGGUGUAGGGGUGAAAUCUAUAGAUAUCAGGAAGAACACCGGUAGCGAAGGCGGACUUCUGGACAUAAGCUGACGCUGAUGUACGAAAGUUAGGGUAGCAAACAGGAUUAGAGACCCUGGUAGUCCUAACCGUAAACGUUGUAUACUAGGUGGUGGCGUUUUGAUCGCGUCACUGCCGUAGCUAACGCAUUAAGUAUACCGCCUGGGGAGUAUGCCGGCAACGGUGAAACUCAAAGGAAUUGACGGGGGCCCGCACAAGCAGUGGAGCAUGUUGUUUAAUUCGAUGAUACGCGAGGAACCUUACCAGGUCUUGACAUAUACCCGGAUGUUCCAGAGAUGGAUCAGUCCUUCGGGACGGGUAUACAGGUGCUGCAUGGUUGUCGUCAGCUCGUGCCGUGAGGUGUUGGGUUAAGUCCCGCAACGAGCGCAACCCUUAUUCUUUGUUGCUAACGCGUUAUGGCGAGCACUCUAAGGAGACUGCCGGUGACAAACCGGAGGAAGGUGGGGAUGACGUCAAAUCAUCACGGCCCUUAUGACCUGGGCUACAAACGUGCUACAAUGGGCGGUACAAAGAGUUGCGAGUCUGUGAAGAGGAGCUAAUCUCAAAAAACCGUCCUCAGUUCGGAUUGGAGUCUGAAACCCGACUCCAUGAAGUUGGAAUUGCUAGUAAUCGCAUAUCAGCCAUGAUGCGGUGAAUAUGUUCCCGGGCCUUGUACACACCGCCCGUCACAUCACCCGAAUUGACUAUACCCGAUGUGGCUGAGCCAACCCUUCGGGG